This 26-nucleotide non-coding RNA is filed under the name Rattus norvegicus (Norway rat). The record is from RNAcentral. Lineage: Eukaryota; Metazoa; Chordata; Mammalia; Rodentia; Muridae.
UACACUGCAGCAGGCAGAGUAUGAAU